GAUGAACGCUGGCGGCGUGCCUAAUACAUGCCAGUCGAGCGAACGGACGAGAAGCUUGCUUCUCUGAUGUUAGCGGCGGACGGGUGAGUAACACGUGGAUAACCUACCCAUAAGACUGGGAUAACUUCGGGAAACCGGAGCUAAUACCGGAUAAUAUUUUGAACCGCAUGGUUCAAAAGUGAAAGACGGUCUUGCUGUCACUUAUAGAUGGAUCCGCGCUGCAUUAGCUAGUUGGUAAGGUAACGGCUUACCAAGGCAACGACGCAUAGCCGACCUGAGAGGGUGAUCGGCCACACUGGAACGGGGACACGGUCCAGACUCCUACGGGAGGCAGCAGUAGGGAAUCUUCCGCAAUGGGCGAAAGCCUGACGGAGCAACGCCGCGUGAGUGAUGAAGGUCUUCGGAUCGUAAAACUCUGUUAUUAGGGAAGAACAUAUGUGUAAGUAACUGUGCACAUCUUGACGGUACCUAAUCAGAAAGCCACGGCUAACUACGUG
RNAcentral lists this ribosomal RNA (497 nucleotides) under uncultured bacterium. Its description in RNAcentral is "partial 16S ribosomal RNA". It matches the Rfam family "Bacterial small subunit ribosomal RNA", at positions 28 to 507 of the family's 1533-position model. The record is from RNAcentral.